AGAAUCAACGCUGGCGGCGUGCCUAACACAUGCAAGUCGCACGAGAAAGGGUAGCAAUACCUGAGUACAGUGGCGCACGGGUGAGUAACACGUGAAUGAUCUACCUCCGAGUGGGGAAUAACUGAGAGAAAUCUUAGCUAAUACCGCAUAAUACCCACGGGUCAAAGCAGCAAUGCGCUUGGAGAGGAGUUCGCGGCCGAUUAGUUAGUUGGCGGGGUAAUGGCCCACCAAGACGAUGAUCGGUAUCCGGCCUGAGAGGGCGCACGGACACACUGGAACUGAAACACGGUCCAGACUCCUACGGAGGCAGCAGUGGGGAAUUUUGCGCAAUGGGGGAAACCCUGACGCAGCAACGCCGCGUGGAGGAUGAAGCCCCUUGGGGUGUAAACUCCUUUCGAUCGGGAAGAUAAUGACGGUACCGAUAUAAGAAGCCCCGGCUAACUUCGUGCCAGCAGCCGC
RNAcentral lists this ribosomal RNA (459 nucleotides) under uncultured bacterium. RNAcentral's name for it is "SSU rRNA". It matches the Rfam family "Bacterial small subunit ribosomal RNA", at positions 26 to 518 of the family's 1533-position model. The record is from RNAcentral.